RNAcentral lists this long non-coding RNA (4844 nucleotides) under Triticum aestivum (bread wheat). RNAcentral's name for it is "long non-coding RNA (TAES_LNC006511)". Lineage: Eukaryota; Viridiplantae; Streptophyta; Magnoliopsida; Poales; Poaceae. The record is from RNAcentral.
CACAAAUGACCACUUCAAAGAACAUGCAAGUAUCUAUGUCAUUAACAAUUGCAAACAUAAGUUUCUUUUUACUACAGUUGUUGUAUGUACUAUCACACAGUUCCUCAUUCUGUUCUCACUCAAUAAUAAGAAAAAUGAAAAGAAAAGAUAGAGAUAAUCUGCCGCAAUUGCACUUCGGUGUCAUGGAUUCAGUCUGCCGCUCAACAUCUCAUUAUCCGGCAGCACUCUGUCGCUAUCUUCUAUCUAUGAAUAAAAACAGACCUUGUCAGAGAAGAAAAUGUGAAACCUUAUUACAACAUGUAUGCUAAGUCGCUAACCCAUAGAGACAGCUAGAACAAAUAUGGAAACUUUCCAUGUUGCCGAGUAAGUAUAUUAACUAGACAAAGUUAGAUGACAGUGAAGCUUAAAUCUGCAGUAAGAAAUAUUAGAUAUACACAUAUUGAAAAUCAACCUCAGAAGUGGAUACUCUAGUAGACCUGCAGGAGCAGAUAUGGUAGUAACCAAAAUCCUAUAAAGAUUCGAGGUUAAAGAUUAUAAAUCCAAUUUGUCAUUAGCAUAAAAAUAUUAGUUCCAUGAAGAAGUUUGUCAAGAGAUAUUUUCUAAUGUUUCUAAGACAGUGACUAAAACGUAAUGAAAGAAAACAUGUUUCUGCAUUUUAAUUAGGGGGAGCUUUAGUUCUAAAAUACUUGAACUGUGACUGAAUGAUCAUAUAUACUAUUAGAAAAAUAGACCAAAAUCUCCGCAGAACAAAACAGACCAAAAAAUUAACUUCCUACUUACAGUGGCAAGAAAAUCUUAUAUGAAUGUGUUAUAAUAAAUAAUGCUAACCAUGAAGUAUUCUUCCAUAUAACAAAGGAGUGACGAAACCAAAAAACCUGUAAUUCAAGUACGACAUGCAGUUAGUUAAUUAUUUGAAUGUCAACAGUUCUAACGUCUAGCUACAGAUCUUCAAAGUAAAGAUUGUGAACUCUAUUAGACAUGAUUAUAUCAAUUAGACCAAAUAGAAAAUAAUUCAAUAUGUUGUAUAUCCAUUAAACGAAGUUCAAUCUAUCUUCUGAUUAUUAGUGUUUCAGUUAGGUGAUUAGUCCUUCUACGGCCGCCGGUUAAUAGGUGAGCCAUGACUUUUUACAGUAAAAAAUGCAAAGGAAAUAACAAGUUAGUAUUUUUCCAAAACUAAUUAUAUGGCCACGUUGAUCACACCUUACUAAUUCUAGCCGGACACUAGUAACACAAGAAAAACUCCCAUGCUUUAUCGGUGCACAUUCACCAUUUGAUAGUGUGAUCAUUUGAGAUCACUAAAUCAUCUUCUAUACGACGUAGGCCAGUAACAUUUACAUCAGCUUGCUCACUUGUAGCUGCUGGAGCAACCAAAUCAUCCUGAGCCAAUACAGAGUUGCUGCUCAGGCCAAGAACAACAGCUGUAACAAGACUGGAAUUAGGAUUGCCAUGGUACCAAAUAUGAUAUUUAUUUCAUUAAAUCAAAUGGAGGUGGCUGCAUAUGCAGAGAGCAGACCUGCUUGCCCAAUCAGUAUAGCGGCACAUGCUGCCAUGCAGGAGCACGCGGCACCUAUGACCUUCGCUCGGGUUGAUGAUGAUGCCUCGCUUGAUACUCCCUUGUCCGCUGAGACGACACUCUAUCGCUGCUGCGGCCACCAGUGGCAUUCUGCUCAAUGGCGGCCAAGGCAUGCCUUGUGGAUGUCCAGGAAGCUUGAAUCAGGCUGGAUCUGAGAAGAAACAGAGCAUGGCCGUGUGAUGUCCUGGCUGAAUCAGAGUACAUUUCCUAAGGAAAUAAAAUGGGUAAAAGGAGGAGCGUAUAAUAAGCAAAAGUGCAGAACAACAUUCUUAAUUAAAUUUAACCCUGGCAGAAUACUUGGUUAUCCGGUGCAAAAUGGUUGCCUUUUAAACUAUGGAACACAAAGAAUCAUCAUUAGCCGUCAAUGCAAAUCAGCUUCUCUCCAUAGAGAAGAGAAGACGUCUUGGUAUCUUGGAUGCAUGAAGCACACCGUAUAUGCUAAUCUGAUCAGAGCAUUUUCUUUUUCAAUUUAACGGCGCAAUGCCCACAUCCCCACCCAUAGAUGUUUUGUUUGUGUACGAAUAGUACAAUGUUUUCUUUUCAAUUUAAUGAGCAAAGUUUAAGGUCCAUAGGCUCCUUUGUAUCCUGUGGAACACAGAAUUCUACAUUGAUUGAACAAACUGACAUUUCAACAUUCCUAGAGGCAUUGUUGCAAACACCUUGCGAGCGAGCUCAGAGCGUGCACCUGCUGCAUAGACUAGACUAAUCUAAUCGCAAGCCGUCCUACUAGUAGCAGUUCAGCAGAAGGAUCCUACUAGUUCAUCUACUAAACUUACAUAAACUAAAUCUUACUAGCUCAAUCAGAAUACUAUGGUUUCUACAAAACUGUACUUUUGAGUACUGUGAGGUGUUUGCCUAAACCAACAAAACUGUACAUUUGUAGCACUCAUUUGCUCAUACAAUCAUUCAAAAUUCAGAAGUAGAAAUAGAAGCUUAUGUAGUUGGUGAUCAACCGUAGCUAAUGGACUAUAGAAUUCACUGCUCCUCACUUGUGAUAAAUUAGGCUAAAAAAUUGCAUGUUCAAUUUUGCAUCAACCGAACUUAAGAGAACAGAGAAACCGGACCUUGGGCUGUAGCUCUUGGCGAGGUAUCUCCUGACACCAGGGUUUAUCCGCACAAUCCUCCGGAUUGAGUCAUCGGUGUCAUUAGCAUAUCCCACCCACCAAUCUACCUGAAAAUGAAAUUGGCUAGAGUCAAACCCAACAACGCGUGCUGCAGGAUGGCAUCAAAAGCCCACUUGAUGGAUUAUCUAGUGUUUACAACUUUGGCCAUAUCUGGAAUAGACAUGUGUGUAUUCUUUUGCAUAUAUAAAGGAUCGAACAACAGAGGAAUUAUCACUAGCCAUGGUUUGUUAUUACUUAUAUUAGGACCAACACCUUACUUAUAUUACACCUCAUGGAUAGUUGUUCAGCAAACAGAGACCACGCUUUACAUGAUGAUGUCCCCUUUUUGCUGAGCUUUUACAAAAAUAGGUACUCACAUUUGACAUAAUUUCUCAUCUUUAGAUGCCAAUCCCUUUUGCUGGAUGUUUAUUAUAUAUACAAAACAGCACAACGGUACACAGGCAACUGGGACGAUCAUGUUUAGGUACAAAUAUAGUUUGCUGGGUAUUAAGGAGCACCAUGGACUAGAAUUCCUAACUGAAGAUUCACAAAAUCAAGACCAGCAUGAAACUAAUUGAGCACUUGGACUGGAACAAUACACUCACACAUGGGCGAAAGCUAAUGAGGCAAGAGCUUACGACAAGAUGUAUGUCCAGAACUGCUUGUCCUUCAUGUGGCAUGGGCACAGAUCAUAGCGGACCUUAGCGAGUUCCUGCCGGGAUCACAAAUUACAGUUUGAGACCUGAGAGCCAUCUCUGUCUUGGGAGAAGUGGAGGACGAGAUCCGCGGGAGACCUACCUUGGCUCUGGCGAGCACGAGGACGGCGUGCCGCUGCUGCCAAUCCGAGAGCUCGGCCGCCAACUCCUAGGAUCCUCCUGCGACAAAGCAUAGCACCGCCUGUAAUCGAGAGGAAACUAGCAGGGGAGCGGAAUCGAGAAGGGAGGAAGGAGGGGGUGCCUUGGUGGAGCUGGGGGGGAAGGACUUGAAGGCGUCGGGGGAGAGUGUCCGGAGGAAGUCAAGGAGCUACGGCGUGACGCCGAGCUCCUCCGCGUCCUCCUCCUUCCCCUCCAUGGCGGAGGGUUUGCUUGGGCCGGUUCCGCCGCUGCCGCUGCCGCCGGCUCGGCGGCGGAACGACCAUGGGAACGAGGAGAAGGCCAUCGGCGGGCAGGUGGGCUAGGACGGGAUGCGGUCGGCGACGGCGAUAUGAUGGAUACGAGAUUUGUCGGCGAGCUUGCUGGACUGGGGGGAGGGGAGGGCAACGGCGCGAGACCGGGAGCGGCGGCCACGCGGCCGCCGGCGUGGCGCACACAGCGGGGGAUGGAGGCGGAGGGGAUCUGGAUCGGGCGUUGGUGGAUUUUUUUAGACAGACAUGGGUUGUGUGGUGUGGGACGGUUGCGGGUGGGAGUGUAUCCGGCGGGGGUGGGUGGCAUGGGAGACUAGUAGUAGCGCGGGUGUCUGACCUGCGCUAUGGCUAUCCACGUAGUAGUAGCGUAGGUUUUACAACCCGCGCUACUACUACGGCUGGUCCCGGGAGGCACGGUGGAAAUAACUUAGUAGUAGUGAGGGGUAAAAACCCACGCUACUACUAUCAGGUUAUUAGUAGCGCGGUUUUCUCAAGCUCGCUACUGCUAAUUAGCAGUAGCAUUUGUUUUUAAACCGCGCUGCUGCUAAGAUUCUAUGUAUAAGGUUUUCCCUAGUAGUGACAAUUUGGUCUUGCACAUGUAGGUCCUGCUGUCAGCGGUUUUGACCCACUGUUUGACCCUUUUUGCAUAUGGGGAAAUGAGUUGUCCAUGAAUAUCAGUUAAGUCAAGAAACUCAGAAAGAUUGUUAGGAUAAAGAAAUUAGUGAAAAAAACAACAAGAUCUUUGUCUGCACAAUGAAGAAGGCAUCAGUUCACUACAAGAUGGUACUAACGAUUAUACCUUGCCUUUUUUAUUCAUUUUCCCUAUUUCCAAUAUAGGGAAGAUAUUUAUGCACAUCCUUAUUUUCGGGCCUUUCCAAAGAAGUUCACUGAUGAUUACCUCUCAAACCACUUGUAUGGUCGGGAGGCGAGGAAGAUAUUCAUACAACACCCAUAGGUCAAUAUUGAAGUGUUCCUGAAGAGUAGGAAGGAUGGACGGUCAAUCAUCCACGGGCACUGGCCUAAAGUUACAAAGACCUUCAACAUC